UACGUAGGGUGCAAGCGUUGUCCGGAAUUAUUGGGCGUAAAGAGCUUGUAGGCGGUUUGUCGCGUCUGCUGUGAAAUUUCGGGGCUCAACCCCGAACUUGCAGUGGGUACGGGCAGACUAGAGUGUGGUAGGGGAGACUGGAAUUCCUGGUGUAGCGGUGAAAUGCGCAGAUAUCAGGAGGAACACCGAUGGCGAAGGCAGGUCGCUGGGCCACUACUGACGCUGAGAAGCGAAAGCAUGGGGAGCGAACAGG
RNAcentral lists this ribosomal RNA (253 nucleotides) under uncultured bacterium. Its description in RNAcentral is "partial 16S ribosomal RNA". It matches the Rfam family "Bacterial small subunit ribosomal RNA", at positions 524 to 776 of the family's 1533-position model. The record is from RNAcentral.